RNAcentral lists this ribosomal RNA (450 nucleotides) under Triticum aestivum (bread wheat). RNAcentral describes it as "partial small subunit ribosomal RNA". Lineage: Eukaryota; Viridiplantae; Streptophyta; Magnoliopsida; Poales; Poaceae. The record is from RNAcentral.
AUGGUGAAUGUGAUAAUUAAUCUUCCCUUGAGUGGUGGGGUGGCCAUUUUUAAGAACCCGUUCAGGAGGGGUGACAACCUCCUUAUAAGUCCUCGCUACUUUUUAUCUUCCAUGCUUCUUUCAAACUUUUUAUGCACCAAAGAUGUUGGAUGCCAUAAAGUAGGAAAAGUUAUGUGCGACUGCUACACACCACAAGGUGUUCCAAUCCCCACCAACAAGAGGCACAAUGCUGCCAAGAUCUUCAACACCUCGAAGGUUGCAGCUGAGGAGAGAUGGUAUGGAAUUGAGCAGGAGUACACUCUCCUCCAGAAGGAUGUGAACUGGCCCCUUGGCUGGCCCGUUGGUGGCUACCCUGGUCCUCAGGCAAGAAAACUCUCAGCAUGCUCUCCAGCUUUCCUGUUUUUGUUAUGCAGGUUGGAAGAAAAGAAGAAGAUCCAGAGAAGAUCUUAG